RNAcentral lists this long non-coding RNA (416 nucleotides) under Ananas comosus (pineapple). RNAcentral describes it as "long non-coding RNA (ACOM_LNC002620)". Lineage: Eukaryota; Viridiplantae; Streptophyta; Magnoliopsida; Poales; Bromeliaceae. The record is from RNAcentral.
UUGAGUUUGAUGGAGGGAUUUCAAAAGAGGGUAUAGGGGCUAAAUAAUAAUGCCUGAAAUUUUUGUACACUUUGCCUCUUUGUAAAAUGAAAAAUGUUCACUUCGCCCCCUGCCAUUAGUAAUCCGUUAGGAUUCUGUUUAUAAAGUAUUAUUAUAUAUUUUUUAUUACCAAAAAUACCCUCAGUCUUUUCUCUUGUGUGAACAUGAUGAGGGGCAAAAUGGUGAGGGGUAAAAUGGUUAUUUUAUCAUCACAGUUCGCACCAUACCUUCCUGUGAAUAUUUUUUAUUUUACAAUGAGGCAAAGUGUAGGUUUCUAAAUGACAGGGGCGGAAAGUGAAAAAUCAGAUUUUAAUCGGAGGGUUUUCUAUAAUUUAGCCAAAAAAAAAAGAGAAAAAAAAUUUCAGGAAUAUUUUUUU